RNAcentral lists this ribosomal RNA (253 nucleotides) under uncultured bacterium. Its description in RNAcentral is "partial 16S ribosomal RNA". It matches the Rfam family "Bacterial small subunit ribosomal RNA", at positions 524 to 776 of the family's 1533-position model. The record is from RNAcentral.
UACGUAGGCAGCGAGCGUUGUUCGGAAUUACUGGGCGUAAAGAGUGUGUAGGCGGUGCUCUAAGUUCGGUGUGAAAUCUCCUGGCUUAACUGGGAGGGUGCGCCGGAAACUGGAGUGCUCGAACGUGGGAGAGGAAAGCGGAAUUCCUGGUGUAGCGGUGAAAUGCGUAGAUAUCUGGAGGAGCACCGGUGGCGAAGGCGGCAUCCUGGACCAAUUCUGACGCUGAGGAGCGAAAGCCAGGGGAGCAAACGGG